Silurus meridionalis is the source of this 588-nucleotide long non-coding RNA. RefSeq lists it as uncharacterized. The record is from RefSeq and is a predicted model, not a curated record. The transcript is spliced from 3 exons. NCBI's taxonomy places the organism in Eukaryota, Metazoa, Chordata, Actinopteri, Siluriformes, Siluridae.
UGGACACGCUGGGAUGUGGAUCUCGGAAGGAAACGGAGAUGCUAAGCACAGACCUCCCCUUAGAUAUGGCUCCCCCCAUUUCAGAAAGGCCAGAGGGAGUCCAGCCUCACUUUCUUAAUCAUGCAGAUGUGUCUUCAUGGCCAUAUCCAUGACCCCACCCCCAAGCACCAGUUCCCUCCUUCUUACCAAGACGUCCAUGCUAACGGGCUUCCAAAACAAUGUCAGUGUACAAGUUUCUGGAACUGUCCUGGAAAUAUAUUUUUCAAAUGGUGGUUUGCUGAAUCUCUCCAGGUGUUCAAGAGGGUUCAACCUGGGAGACUGUGAAGGCUGUAAAGUACAAUUUACACCCCAUCAAAGCAUUCAGCAAGUCAUCGUACCUUGUGGAGAUGUUUUGGAUCAGAGAACUUCCAUUAAAAUAGAAUGUUUUAUAAGAUUAAGGAAAACUGUCAGAUUUUUAUCAACUCUUCUUUUUAAUGGGCAAAAUGGGACAUAGUAUCAGACACACUACCAUUUUUACUUAAUUUUUCUCUGCUAAAUAAUAGUCUACUUUAAAAUACAUUUAUUUAAAAUGUGUAAAUGUUGAGCAUC